Non-coding RNA from Canis lupus familiaris (dog), 83 nucleotides. The record is from Rfam. Lineage: Eukaryota; Metazoa; Chordata; Mammalia; Carnivora; Canidae.
GCCUGAGUGGCUCAGUGGUUGAGCACCUGCCUUUGGCUCAGGUCAUGAUCUCAGAGUCCCAGGAUCAAAUCCUACAUCGGGCU